UGCAGUCGACGAACUCUUCGGAGUUAGUGGCGGACGGGUGAGUAACGCGUGAGAAUCUGCCCUUAGGUUGGGGACAACAGUUGGAAACGACUGCUAAUACCCAAUGUGCCGAGAGGUGAAAGGUUAACUGCCUGGGGAUGAGCUCGCGUCUGAUUAGCUAGUUGGAGUGGUAAUGGCACACCAAGGCGACGAUCAGUAGCUGGUCUGAGAGGAUGAUCAGCCACACUGGGACUGAGACACGGCCCAGACUCCUACGGGAGGCAGCAGUGGGGAAUUUUCCGCAAUGGGCGAAAGCCUGACGGAGCAAGACCGCGUGAGGGAGGAAGGCCUAUUGGUUGUAAACCUCUUUUGAUAGGGAAGAACACAAUGACGGUACCUAUCGAAUCAGCAUCGGCUAACUCCGUGCCAGCAGCCGCGGUAAUACGGAGGAUGCAAGCGUUAUCCGGAUUUAUUGGGCGUAAAGCGUCCGUAGGUGGCCGUCCAAGUCAGUUGUUAAAGCGUAGAGCUUAACUCUAUAACGGCAAUUGAAACUGGGUGGCUAGAGUGCGAUAGGGGCAAGGGGAAUUCCCAGUGUAGCGGUGAAAUGCGUAGAUAUUGGGAAGAACAUCGGUGGCGAAGGCGCCUUGCUGGGUCUGCACUGACACUGAGGGACGAAAGCUAGGGGAGCGAAGGGAUUAGAUACCCCUGUAGUCUAGCUGUAACGAUGGAUACUAGGCGUUGUCCGUAUCGACCCGGGCAUUGCCGUAGCUUACGCGUUAGUAUCCGCCUGGGGAGUACGCUCGCAAGA
RNAcentral lists this ribosomal RNA (787 nucleotides) under uncultured cyanobacterium. RNAcentral describes it as "bacterial SSU rRNA". It matches the Rfam family "Bacterial small subunit ribosomal RNA", at positions 56 to 893 of the family's 1533-position model. Lineage: Bacteria; Bacillati; Cyanobacteriota. The record is from RNAcentral.